UCUUACGUCUACAAAGUCAGUGUAGUAGAACUUUUGCGGUACAAUAAUAGUUUGGAAUUAUUGUGUAGCCAGUGGCGGAUUAUGACGCGUGUUUUGUAAUACAUACAGUACUGUAAAGUGAAACGAGGUCAUUUUGUUGUGUACUUUGGUCAACGGAAGAGAAAGAUGGAGUCCCUUAGAAAAGGAAAAGGAGACUGAUGGGAUUUCGUUUUAAAGGAACUAGAGUCUGAAGCUAACCUGAUACCUACGAGAGUUCUGAGCAGAGAAAAAGUACUACUACAGAAAAAGAGAUCUUGCUAAAGCUCACCCGACGCGGUAUUUAAGUUUGAUUAUAAAUGGCAUGGACCAGUCAAAGACCAACUUGCCACAUUUUGUAGGGAGAACAGCCAAGGGUGGAACGUUGCCUCCAGUAUUGUAUAUUCAAGCCGACAACUGCUGGCGGGAAAAUAAUAUUAAAUCGUUUUGCGAGUUACUGGU
Long non-coding RNA from Mytilus trossulus (common blue mussel), 477 nucleotides. RefSeq lists it as uncharacterized. The transcript has 4 exons. The record is from RefSeq and is a predicted model, not a curated record. Lineage: Eukaryota; Metazoa; Mollusca; Bivalvia; Mytilida; Mytilidae.